UUAGUACUCCCUCCAUCUGAAAAUACUUGUCGAAUAAAAAUGAAUGUAUCUUAAACUAAAAUAUGUCUAGAUACAACCAUCUCUCCGACAAGUAUUUUCGGAUGGAGGGAGUACCAA
Molecule: non-coding RNA, 117 nt
Organism: Triticum aestivum (bread wheat)
Lineage: Eukaryota; Viridiplantae; Streptophyta; Magnoliopsida; Poales; Poaceae
Source: Rfam